GGAAAGGCGCGCGAUACAGGGUGACAGCCCCGUACACAAAAAUGCACAUGCUGUGAGCUCGAUGAGUAGGGCGGGACACGUGGUAUCCUGUCUGAAUAUGGGGGGACCAUCCUCCAAGGCUAAAUACUCCUGACUGACCGAUAGUGAACCAGUACCGUGAGGGAAAGGCGAAAAGAACCCCGGCGAGGGGAGUGAAAAAGAACCUGAAACCGUGUACGUACAAGCAGUGGGAGCACAGAGCAAUCUGUGUGACUGCGUACCUUUUGUAUAAUGGGUCAGCGACUUAUAUUCUGUAGCAAGGUUAACCGAAUAGGGGAGCCGAAGGGAAACCGAGUCUUAACUGGGCGUUAAGUUGCAGGGUAUAGACCCGAAACCCGGUGAUCUAGCCAUGGGCAGGUUGAAGGUUGGGUAACACUAACUGGAGGACCGAACCGACUAAUGUUGAAAAAUUAGCGGAUGACUUGUGGCUGGGGGUGAAAGGCCAAUCAAACCGGGAGAUAGCUGGUUCUCCCCGAAAGCUAUUUAGGUAGCGCCUCGUGAAUUCAUCUCCGGGGGUAGAGCACUGUUUCGGCAAGGGGGUCAUCCCGACUUACCAACCCGAUGCAAACUGCGAAUACCGGAGAAUGUUAUCACGGGAGACACACGGCGGGUGCUAACGUCCGUCGUGAAGAGGGAAACAACCCAGACCGCCAGCUAAGGUCCCAAAGUCAUGGUUAAGUGGGAAACGAUGUGGGAAGGCCCAGACAGCCAGGAUGUUGGCUUAGAAGCAGCCAUCAUUUAAAGAAAGCGUAAUAGCUCACUGGUCGAGUCGGCCUGCGCGGAAGAUGUAACGGGGCUAAACCAUGCACCGAAGCUGCGGCAGCGACGCUUAUGCGUUGUUGGGUAGGGGAGCGUUCUGUAAGCCUGUGAAGGUGUGCUGUGAGGCAUGCUGGAGGUAUCAGAAGUGCGAAUGCUGACAUAAGUAACGAUAAAGCGGGUGAAAAGCCCGCUCGCCGGAAGACCAAGGGUUCCUGUCCAACGUUAAUCGGGGCAGGGUGAGUCGACCCCUAAGGCGAGGCCGAAAGGCGUAGUCGAUGGGAAACAGGUUAAUAUUCCUGUACUUGGUGUUACUGCGAAGGGGGGACGGAGAAGGCUAUGUUGGCCGGGCGACGGUUGUCCCGGUUUAAGCGUGUAGGCUGGUUUUCCAGGCAAAUCCGGAAAAUCAAGGCUGAGGCGUGAUGACGAGGCACUACGGUGCUGAAGCAACAAAUGCCCUGCUUCCAGGAAAAGCCUCUAAGCAUCAGGUAACAUCAAAUCGUACCCCAAACCGACACAGGUGGUCAGGUAGAGAAUACCAAGGCGCUUGAGAGAACUCGGGUGAAGGAACUAGGCAAAAUGGUGCCGUAACUUCGGGAGAAGGCACGCUGAUAUGUAGGUGAAGUCCCUCGCGGAUGGAGCUGAAAUCAGUCGAAGAUACCAGCUGGCUGCAACUGUUUAUUAAAAACACAGCACUGUGCAAACACGAAAGUGGACGUAUACGGUGUGACGCCUGCCCGGUGCCGGAAGGUUAAUUGAUGGGGUCAGCGCAAGCGAAGCUCUUGAUCGAAGCCCCGGUAAACGGCGGCCGUAACUAUAACGGUCCUAAGGUAGCGAAAUUCCUUGUCGGGUAAGUUCCGACCUGCACGAAUGGCGUAAUGAUGGCCAGGCUGUCUCCACCCGAGACUCAGUGAAAUUGAACUCGCUGUGAAGAUGCAGUGUACCCGCGGCAAGACGGAAAGACCCCGUGAACCUUUACUAUAGCUUGACACUGAACAUUGAGCCUUGAUGUGUAGGAUAGGUGGGAGGCUUGGAAGUGUGGACGCCAGUCUGCAUGGAGCCGACCUUGAAAUACCACCCUUUAAUGUUUGAUGUUCUAACGUUGACCCGUAAUCCGGGUUGCGGACAGUGUCUGGUGGGUAGUUUGACUGGGGCGGUCUCCUCCUAAAGAGUAACGGAGGAGCACGAAGGUUGGCUAAUCCUGGUCGGACAUCAGGAGGUUAGUGCAAUGGCAUAAGCCAGCUUGACUGCGAGCGUGACGGCGCGAGCAGGUGCGAAAGCAGGUCAUAGUGAUCCGGUGGUUCUGAAUGGAAGGGCCAUCGCUCAACGGAUAAAAGGUACUCCGGGGAUAACAGGCUGAUACCGCCCAAGAGUUCAUAUCGACGGCGGUGUUUGGCACCUCGAUGUCGGCUCAUCACAUCCUGGGGCUGAAGUAGGUCCCAAGGGUAUGGCUGUUCGCCAUUUAAAGUGGUACGCGAGCUGGGUUUAGAACGUCGUGAGACAGUUCGGUCCCUAUCUGCCGUGGGCGCUGGAGAACUGAGGGGGGCUGCUCCUAGUACGAGAGGACCGGAGUGGACGCAUCACUGGUGUUCGGGUUGUCAUGCCAAUGGCACUGCCCGGUAGCUAAAUGCGGAAGA
Molecule: ribosomal RNA, 2432 nt
Filed under: Escherichia coli
Lineage: Bacteria; Pseudomonadati; Pseudomonadota; Gammaproteobacteria; Enterobacterales; Enterobacteriaceae
Description: partial 23S ribosomal RNA
Rfam family: Bacterial large subunit ribosomal RNA
Source: RNAcentral